UUAAUAAUAUAUUUAUUUAUAUUUUUAUUAAUUAUUUAUUUUAUAGAAACAACUUUAUUUUUAGUAAUUUUUAUUGAAUUAAUUAUUUUUAUUAUAGUGUAUUAGUACUGUGAAGGAAUAUUUAUAUAUAUUUUAUUAAAGUAUACUUUUUUUGUAGUACCUUUUGUAUCAGGGUUUAUUAAUUUUUAAUUAAUUAUUAUUAAUUAUCCCGAAAUUAAAAGAGAUAUAAUAUUAUGAUAGUUUAUGUUUCAUAAUAAUUUUUAAUUUUAUUAUAGGAGUUAUAUGCUAUUCAAUUUUAAAUAUCUGGUUGUUUAAUAAAUUAAUUUAAUUAAUACUAAUUUUUGUUAUUUAUAUAAAUUUAUUUAUUUUAAUAGGAUUAGUUAAUAAUAUAGGGGAUAAGCUCUUUAUUAAUUCUAUAAUUUAUAUUUAUUAUUAAAUUUUUGUAGGUUUAGUAACGGCCAUCAUUUAUUUCGUUAUAGUUAAUUUUUUUUUUAUUUUUAUUUAUUUAUGAAUUUAGAUUUUUAUUAAACUUUAUUUAUUAAUUAUUUAUUUUUAGUAAUAAUGAUAGAAUUAGUAGUUUUGUAUAUUUAAGUAUAAGAAUUCGGCAAAUUUGAUCUUCGCCUGUUUAACAAAAACAUGUCCUGUAGAUUUUCAAUUAUAGGUCUGACCUGCCCAAUGAUUAAUUUUUAAUGGCCGCAGUAUUUUAACUGUGCAAAGGUAGCAUAAUCAUUUGUCUUUUAAUUGGAGGCUUGUAUGAAUGGUUUUACGAGGGAUCAACUUUUUUUAUUUAAAUAUUUAUUAAUUUAAUUUUUGAGUUAAAAAGCUUAAAUUUUUUUGCAAGACGAGAAGACCCUAUAGAAUUUUAUUUUAAUUAAUUUCUUAUUAUUUUAGUUUAUAAUUAUUUUAAGAAUUGGGUUAAAAUUUUGUUGGGGCGAUGUUGAGGAUUUUAUAACCCUCAAUUUUAAUUUUUCAUUUAUUUAUGUAUUUUUUGAUCCUAAUUUUUAGAUUACAAGAUUAAAUUACCUUAGGGAUAACAGCGUAAUUUUUCCGGAGAGUCCUUAUUAAUGGAUUAAGUUUGCGACCUCGAUGUUGGAUUAAAGAAAGUUUUUGGUGCAGAAGCUAAAACUCUAAGUCUGUUCGACUUUUAAAUCUUUACAUGAUCUGAGUUCAGACCGGCGUGAGCCAGGUUGGUUUCUAUCUGCAAAUUUGUUUUAUAUUUUAGUACGAAAGGACCAAGUGUAAAUAAUAAUUAUUUUAUAUUUUGAUGAUUAUUA
This 1274-nucleotide ribosomal RNA is filed under the name Grypocephalus pallipectus. RNAcentral's name for it is "16S ribosomal RNA". The stretch from base 835 to 1204 matches the Rfam family "Bacterial large subunit ribosomal RNA", at positions 2073 to 2647 of the family's 2925-position model. Lineage: Eukaryota; Metazoa; Arthropoda; Insecta; Hemiptera; Alydidae. The record is from RNAcentral.